AGCAGCCGCGGUAAUUCCAGCUCCAAUAGCGUAUAUUAAAGUUGUUGCAGUUAAAAAGCUCGUAGUUGAAUUUCGGGAUUGACACAUCGGUCGUGCCUUAAGGGGUAUGAACUGGUGUAGUCAAUUUCUCGCCUUCUGGAGAACCGCGAUGCCCUUAAUUGGGUGUCGCGGGGAACCAGGACCUUUACUUUGAAAAAUUAGAGUGUUUAAAGCAGGCAUUUUGCUUGAAUACAUUAGCAUGGAAUAAUAAAAUAGGACGGAUGAUUCUAUUUUGUUGGUUUCUAGGACCACCGUAAUGAUUAAUAGGGAUAGUUGGGGGCAUUAGUAUUCAAUUGUCAGAGGUGAAAUUCUUGGAUUUAUUGAAGACUAACUACUGCGAAAGCAUUUGCCAAGGAUGUUUUCAUUAAUCAAGAACGAAAGUUAGGGGAUCGAAGACGAAUCAGAUACCGUCGUAGUCUUAACCAUAAACUAUAGCCGACUAGGAAUCAGACGAUGUAAUUUUUAAUGACUCGUUUGGCAC
This 520-nucleotide ribosomal RNA is filed under the name uncultured Entrophospora. RNAcentral's name for it is "SSU rRNA". It matches the Rfam family "Eukaryotic small subunit ribosomal RNA", at positions 569 to 1086 of the family's 1831-position model. The record is from RNAcentral. Lineage: Eukaryota; Fungi; Glomeromycota; Glomeromycetes; Entrophosporales; Entrophosporaceae.